AGAGUUUGAUCCUGGCUCAGGAUGAACGCUGGCGGCGUGCUUAACACAUGCAAGUCGAACGAACCUUCGGGUUAGUGGCGGACGGGUGAGUAACGCGUGAGAAUCUGCCCUCAGGAAGGGGAUAACAGUUGGAAACGACUGCUAAUACCCCAUAUGCCGAGAGGUGAAAUGAAUUUCGCCUGGGGAUGAGCUCGCGUCUGAUUAGCUUGUUGGUGGGGUAAUAGCCUACCAAGGCUUCGAUCAGUAGCUGGUCUGAGAGGACGAUCAGCCACACUGGGACUGAGACACGGCCCAGACUCCUACGGGAGGCAGCAGUGGGGAAUUUUCCGCAAUGGGCGAAAGCCUGACGGAGCAACGCCGCGUGAGGGAUGGAGGCCUUUGGGCUGUAAACCUCUUUUCUCAAGGAAGAAGAUCUGACGGUACUUGAGGAAUAAGCCACGGCUAAUUCCGUGCCAGCAGCCGCGGUAAUACGGGAGUGGCAAGCGUUAUCCGGAAUUAUUGGGCGUAAAGCGUCCGCAGGCGGCCGUUUAAGUCUGUUGUUAAAUCGUGGAGCUCAACUCCAUCACGGCAAUGGAAAUUGUUCGGCUUGAGUAUGGUAGGGGCAGAGGGAAUUUCCGGUGUAGCGGUGAAAUGCGUAGAUAUCGGGAAGAACACCAGUGGCGAAAGCGCUCUGCUGGGCCAUUACUGACGCUCAUGGACGAAAGCCAGGGGAGCGAAAGGGAUUAGAUACCCCUGUAGUCCUGGCCGUAAACGAUGAACACUAGAUGUUGGGGGAAUCGACCCCCUCGGUGUCGUAGCUAACGCGUUAAGUGUUCCGCCUGGGGAGUACGCACGCAAGUGUGAAACUCAAAGGAAUUGACGGGGGCCCGCACAAGCGGUGGAGUAUGUGGUUUAAUUCGAUGCAACGCGAAGAACCUUACCAAGGCUUGACAUCCUGCGAAUCUCUAAGAAAUUAGAGAGUGCCUUCGGGAACGCAGUGACAGGUGGUGCAUGGCUGUCGUCAGCUCGUGUCGUGAGAUGUUGGGUUAAGUCCCGCAACGAGCGCAACCCACGUUUUUAGUUGCCAGCAUUCAGUUGGGCACUCUAGAAAGACUGCCGGUGACAAACCGGAGGAAGGUGUGGACGACGUCAAGUCAUCAUGCCCCUUACGCCUUGGGCUACACACGUACUACAAUGCUGCGGACAAAGAGUAGCGAUCUUGCGAAAGUUAGCUAAUCUCAUAAACCGUGGCUCAGUUCAGAUCGUAGGCUGCAACUCGCCUACGUGAAGGAGGAAUCGCUAGUAAUCGCAGGUCAGCAUACUGCGGUGAAUACGUUCCCGGGCCUUGUACACACCGCCCGUCACACCAUGGAAGUUGGCCAUGCCCGAAGUCGUUACUCUAACCUUUUGGAAGAGGGCGCCGAAGGCAGGGCUAAUGACUGGGGUGAAGUCGUAACAAGGUAACC
RNAcentral lists this ribosomal RNA (1445 nucleotides) under uncultured bacterium. RNAcentral describes it as "bacterial SSU rRNA". It matches the Rfam family "Bacterial small subunit ribosomal RNA". The record is from RNAcentral.